Molecule: non-coding RNA, 26 nt
Filed under: Mus musculus (house mouse)
Lineage: Eukaryota; Metazoa; Chordata; Mammalia; Rodentia; Muridae
Source: RNAcentral
UUGUAUUUGAUGUUUAGACCCCUCGG